AUGGGGUCAGACUGUGUAGGAAUUUUAGGUAACUAUAAGGACUUGGGCUCUUACUCUGAGUUUGGUAGAUGUGGAGAUGACCAGAUCCCUCUCAAGGAAAGACUAAAUGCCCCAUUGUGGGAAUGUGGUUGGCAGCAGGCUCCAGGUGUUAGUGCCUUUAAGAGCUGUCUCAGCUACAGAGCUGCUCAUUCGAAGUUAUGCCCUUCCCAGGACAGUCCAAAUCUGAGAACUUGGCAAGUUGGGUAUAUAAGGUCUGGCCAUUUCGGCUCUUCAAGUUCACUUUUACAGGCCGUAUUUGUUUUACAGGCAGAGCUGGUUGGCCAAUGCUCUGCCAGGCCUUACUGCAGCUCAACUUCUUCCUGCCUGAUACUACCCAAUUCUGCCUCCUCUUCUUUCCUUUCACAGGGAAUCUGUGAACAUCUUGAACUUCAAACACUAUCUCCACAUCUGCUUCUGGAGAUGCAGCUGGUGAUGAUGAGAUAUAAAAUGUGUUCAACAACAGUUGUGGGCUGUUCAGCUCUACCAAGAAGUGUCAGAACAGAAAAAACAACAAGUCUGACCACAGCUGAAGAAGCAAGUAUGUAAACUUCAGGCUACUCAACACAGUGCAGAGUGAUUUCACCUAAGCCACAACAGCAGCUGGUUGCCAUGAUACAAACAAGAGUUGCCACUUACCGACCACAGCUAUGUGCCAGGUAAGUCAAAUGAGGAAGAAUACCUUCAGUGUGGGGGAGAAACAGGUCUUUAGUGUCUCCUUAGUCCAGUGGCUCUCAAAGUAUAUAAUGGCAGCAUCAACAUCAGCAUUACCUGGGAACAUGUUGGAGAUGUGAAUUCUUGGGUUCCACUUUAGACAGUGAAACAGAAAUUCUGGGGACUGGCACUCUAAGUUUUAACAAACCCUCCAGGGGUUGGGUGCGGUGGCUCACGCCUAUCAUCUCAGCACUUUGGGUGGUUGAGGUGGGUAAAUCACAAGGCCAGGAGUUUGAGACUAGCCUGGCCAACAUGGUGAGACCCGUCUGUACUAAAGAUACAAAAAGUUAGCUGGGCUUAGUAGCGGGCCCCAAUAAUCCCAGCUUCUCGGGAGGCUGAGGCAGGAGAAUUGCUUGAACCAGGGAGGCAGACGUUGCAGUGAGCUGAGAUUGAGCCACUGCACUCCAGCCUGGUGACAGAGUAAGACACCAUCUCAAAAAUAAAAAUAAAAAUAAAGAAAGAAAAGAAGAGAGAAGAAAACCCUCC
RNAcentral lists this long non-coding RNA (1236 nucleotides) under Callithrix jacchus (white-tufted-ear marmoset). RNAcentral describes it as "lncRNA (ENSCJAG00000063469.2)". The record is from RNAcentral. Lineage: Eukaryota; Metazoa; Chordata; Mammalia; Primates; Cebidae.